This 423-nucleotide ribosomal RNA is filed under the name uncultured bacterium. RNAcentral describes it as "bacterial SSU rRNA". It matches the Rfam family "Bacterial small subunit ribosomal RNA", at positions 358 to 773 of the family's 1533-position model. The record is from RNAcentral.
GGAAUAUUGGACAAUGGGCGGAAGCCUGAUCCAGCCAUGCCGCGUGUGUGAAGAAGGUCUUCGGAUUGUAAAGCACUUUAAGUGGGGAGGAAGGGCAGUAACUUAAUACGUUGCUGUUUUGACGUUACCGACAGAAUAAGCACCGGCUACCUCUGUGCCAGCCGCCGCGGUAAUACAGAGGUUGCAAGCGUUAAUCGGAAUUACUUGGCGUAAAGCGCGCGUAGGUGGUUUGUUAAGUUGGAGGUGAAAGCCCCGGGCUCAACCUGGGAACUGCAUCCAAAACUGGCAAGCUAGAGUACAGUAGAGGGUGGUGGAAUUUCCUGUGUAGCGGUGAAAUGCGUAGAUAUAGGAAGGAACACCAGUGGCGAAGGCGACCACCUGGACUGAUACUGACACUGAGGUGCGAAAGCGUGGGGAGCAAAC